UUUUAUUUUUAACAGAUAAAGCCUCCCUAGCAUAUCGUCUUCUUCUCGGCCAUGAAUGAUUUUCAGGUACCCUAACUGCUACUAUUACCAGAUAGAACCUCCCUAAAAUAUUGUCAUCUUGAGUCCAUGAAUGGAAUCCGAGGAUUUGCAAACGUGAAAGGUGCAGAUUCAAUCUGGACAGGUUGGAGUUUGUUCUGUAAGGCUUGAUUUGCACAUUCGUUGUUCCUCCGAAAGGAAAUUUGAGCAAUUUGAGACAAAUCCCUACUACCUAUGCUGCGAAAUGAAAUUUGGGCAACUUUAGACAAAUUUGACUACCUACACUGCGAAAAUGCAAACGUGGAAGGUGCAGAUUCAAUCCGAAGAGCUUGGAGUGCAUUCAGUAGGGCUCGAAUUGCACGUUCACCAUUCCUUGCAUCAUUCCAGAAAGGAAAUUUGCGCAACUUUACACAAAUCUGACUACCUACGCUGCGGAAAAGGUAAUGUUUUUGAGAUUUCAGAUGGGCAGCGAAAGAGAGUUUAACUAAAUAGAGAAAGCGCGGGCCAGACGUUUGAAUUUACCAAGCCGAGGAGGGGUUUGAUUGAAAAACCGCAUGAGCUUUCCAAUAUGUGUCAUGCGGAUGUCGGGCUUAUCAUUUUUUCUGCAACGGGGAAGCUAUUCCAGUACUCCAAUUUAGGUAUUAUUUCUCGUGCCUUUCAAAAAAAAAAAAAAAGGAGUUCAUUACAUAAAAGUAAGUUCGUAUGUAGGGGAAAGGAUUCAGUAGUUGAACAUAUUUCAAUUCUUGUGAUAGAAGUUGUUGAUUUAAUACCUCCACUUGUUGAUUUAAUGUCCAAUUUGUAUAUAA
Molecule: long non-coding RNA, 842 nt
Organism: Cryptomeria japonica (Japanese cedar)
Lineage: Eukaryota; Viridiplantae; Streptophyta; Pinopsida; Cupressales; Cupressaceae
Exons: 3
Source: RefSeq, a predicted model, not a curated record